Molecule: long non-coding RNA, 2782 nt
Organism: Ficedula albicollis (Collared flycatcher)
Lineage: Eukaryota; Metazoa; Chordata; Aves; Passeriformes; Muscicapidae
Source: Ensembl
GUUUGAGCUGAGCAGGUUUUUGGGGAGCACAGAGGUUUGAGCUGAGCAGUUUUUGGGGAGCACAGAGGUUUGAGCUGAGCAGUUUUUGGGGAGCAGAGGUUUGAGCUGAGCCCAGCUCUAGGCUGGAUAACAACAACCUCUAAAAGCUUCUAUCGGUUCCUGUCAGCCCAGCCCAGCCCUGGUUGGGUUUUUCUCCUGCCUCAGCCCCUCUGGAGCAUCCUGAUGUUUGCUGAUGGCACAGGAAGGGUUAAACCUCCCAGCCCCAGUGUUAAUGAUCCCGAACAGAGUCAUUACACUCCUCACAAAGGCAGAUCUAAUCUGUCACAUCUUUAUCUUUGCCUUUACCCUGUUUGUUCAUCCUCCAGCCCAGGAGAUGCUGGUGGAGCUCGGCAAAAACCUCACCAGGAAAUCUGGGGGUGCUUGGAGGGCGAGAGCACGGCCAAAACCAGAUCCCAGGGGUUUGAAAAAAUGGGCUCUCCUUCAUUUUACCAAAUCUCCCCUGCAGGAGCCUCCAGGUGAAGCUGAUUUUUUGCUUUAAACGAGGCUUCCAGGUGUGUUUGAGGAGGUUCUGGAUGCACUGGGGCUGUGUGAGCCUUUCCUAAAAAGGGUUUGGUGCCUUCCCUGCCAAGACCCCAAAGCCUCUGGGGGAAAGUUUAGUUCAGAAUUCAGUGCAGCAGGUCCCUGAUGGCUCAGGAGCUAUUUUGGGUCUGCUGAAAGGCAUGAGGAUGCUGGAAUUAAGUGUUAUUAUCCUCAUCCUUCAAAUCUGUCAUGCAGCUCUGCUCAGAGUUGGGUGUUUCAUUGGGUUUGGGAUGUGCUGCUUGCUGGGGCCCCCCCUUCCCUGGGGCAAUCCCAGCAGAGUCCAGAGGAUUCCUGCAGUCCCUGGCUGCUUCUGCUGCUGGAUUUUCACACGCAGCUGAAAAUUUGAGGCAGCAUCAGGGCAGGGUGGAGUCCCCAUGCUGCAGGGGUUUGAAGUGUGGAUGUGGCACUUGGGGACAUCAGAGGUGGCCUGGGCAGGACUGGGGUGGUUGGGCUUGGUGUUCCUUGGGGGCUUUUCCACCCAGAAUUAUUUUAUUUUGUGAUUCUGUUAUCUUGUGAUUCUGUGAUUUUGUGACUCUGUGAUUUGUGAUUCUGUUAUCUUGUGACUCUGUGAUUUUGUGACUCUGUGAUCUUGUGAUUCAUCUUAUGAUUCUGUGAUUUUGUGAUUCCCUUAUCUUAUGAUUCUAUGAUUCUGUGAUUCAUGAUUCUAUGAUUUUGUGAUUCUCUUAUCUUGUGAUUCUAUGAUUUUAUUAUUCUGUGAUUUUGUGAUUCUGUUAUCUUGUGAUUCUGCAAUUUUGUGAUUCUCUUAUCCUGUGAUUCUGCUAUCGUGUGAUUCUCUGUGAGCUUUGCUUUUGUCUUGGAGCUGCUGGAUCCCCAGGAGUGGAAUUCUCAGGGUGUCCCCAAGCACACGUGGGUGGGGUUUUGGGGGGUUUUUUUGGGUCCUGUGACUUCCAGGAGCUCCUGCUUCUUCUGGACCACAGCCAGGCAGGAAUUCCCUGCUGGGAUGGGGACAGCAGCAGGGAGAGGAGGAAUCCAAACCCAGCUGCUCCUGCAGCUCCUGCUCCUCCACUGCUCUGCCUGACUCUGCUAAAUCAUUACUGAAUAGGAUAAUGAGCCUUAAUCAGCCUCAUCUCCUCUCCCUCCAGGCUUCAUCUGCUCAGGAGCCUCUGUCUGCACAGGGAACAGCUCCAUCCUCCCCUGGGGGAUCCCAUGGGUGCAGGGGGGUCCCUUGGGAGCAGGGAGAGGAGGGCAGAGGCUGCAGGAGUUAAUGAAUAAUCCAGGGGAAGAGCUGCUGGGCCAUUACUCAGCUCUGAGAGGAGCCUGCCAAUACUUGGGGUGUAAAAGAUGAUCAGGGAGGGAGGAUGGGGGAGCCAGGGCUGUAAUUCCAACCUGGAAAUGCCAUCUCCAUUGGAUUUUAUUUUUUUUUUUUCUUGUCUGCUGGGUACAGGUUUGGUGAUUUUUUUUGUUUGUUUUUUUGUUUUUUUGUUGUUUUUUUUUUGCUCCUGAGUACAGAGAAAAUCAAUAAAGCCUCAUGUGAUGGGCAGAGCAUCCCUUGGAUUUAAACAAACAGUGGCUAAAGUGCCCUUUAAAAGCCUUUCCAUGGGUGCCAGUGCUGACCCCUCAUCCCACAGAACCAGCACAGCCAAAAUCCCUCUCUGAGCUCCAGGAUUUUGUGGCUCUCACUUUUUUUUUUUUUUUUUUUUUUUUUUUUGGGGGGGGGGGGGGGGGGGGGGGGGGGGGGUUUUUUUUUUUUUUUUUUUUUUUUUUUUGGGAAUAAUUUGGGCUCUGCUUUGCUCUGCCCCGAGGCUCCCCUCAGCAGGGUGAGGAUCUGCAGAUCUCAGAGCAGCAGUCAGGAUGCUCCUGGAGGGAGCUGAGCCCCCCGACCCCCUCCAAACAGAAUUUCUUGGUGCUCCUGCCCUUUUCUGGCUGUGCAGCUCAUGGCUCCAGGGCUCUUUGGGAAUAUGGGUCGGGACUGGAUGUUUUGUACAGUGAAUUUUGGGCUAUUUUGGGUAAGAACUCUUGGGAAGGCUUUGAGAGCUGGAUAAACAGCCCUGAGGAUCCCUCCUGCCCAGAGCUGGUGCCUGGCUCAGAAUGUGCCUUCAGGAUGAAUAUUUUGCCUUCUAAAUCCAUACAAAUCCCAUUUUUGGGAGGGAAAGCUGGAAAUUGUGCAUGGAUGGGGGGGGGGGGGGGGGGGGGGGGGGGGGGGGGGGGGGGGGGGGGGGGGGGGGGGGGGGGGGGGGGGGGG